Molecule: ribosomal RNA, 468 nt
Filed under: uncultured bacterium
Lineage: Bacteria
Description: partial 16S ribosomal RNA
Rfam family: Bacterial small subunit ribosomal RNA
Source: RNAcentral
GACGAACGCUGGCGGCGUGCUUAACACAUGCAAGUCGAACGGAAAGGCCCUGCUUUUGUGGGGUGCUCGAGUGGCGAACGGGUGAGUAACACGUGAGUAACCUGCCCUUGACUUUGGGAUAACUUCAGGAAACUGGGGCUAAUACCGGAUAGGAGCUCCUGCUGCAUGGUGGGGGUUGGAAAGUUUCGGCGGUUGGGGAUGGACUCGCGGCUUAUCAGCUUGUUGGUGGGGUAGUGGCUUACCAAGGCUUUGACGGGUAGCCGGCCUGAGAGGGUGACCGGCCACAUUGGAACUGAGAUACGGCUCAGACUCCUACGGGAGGCAGCAGUGGGGAAUAUUGCACAAUGGGCGGAAGCCUGAUGCAGCAACGCCGCGUGCGGGAUGACGGCCUUCGGGUUGUAAACCGCUUUCGCCUGUGACGAAGCGUGAGUGACGGUAAUGGGUAAAGAAGCACCGGCUAACUACGUG